CGUGUAGGUGGUACUGUAAGUAGGGCGUGAAAGCUCCUGGCUCAACUGGGAGAGGCCGUUCUAAACUACAGAACUAGAGGAUGGUAGAGGGAGGUGGAAUUCCAGGUGUAGCGGUGGAAUGCGCAGAUAUCUGGAGGAACACCGGUGGCGAAGGCGGCCUCCUGGACCAUUCCUGACACUCAGACGCGAAAGCUAGGGUAGCAAACGG
This 208-nucleotide ribosomal RNA is filed under the name uncultured bacterium. RNAcentral describes it as "partial 16S ribosomal RNA". It matches the Rfam family "Bacterial small subunit ribosomal RNA", at positions 568 to 775 of the family's 1533-position model. The record is from RNAcentral.